UAAGAAGGGGGGUAGCGUUGCUCGGAAUGACUGGGCGUAAAGGGCGCGUAGGCGGCUUACAUAGUUAGGCGUGAAAUUCCUGGGCUCAACCUGGGGACUGCGUCUAAUACAUGUAGGCUUGAGUGUGAAAGAGGGUCGUGGAAUUUCCAGUGUAGAGGUGAAAUUCGUAGAUAUUGGAAAGAACACCGGUGGCGAAGGCGGCGACCCGGUUCAUUACUGACGAUGAGGCGCGAAAGCGUGGGGAUCAAACAGG
RNAcentral lists this ribosomal RNA (253 nucleotides) under uncultured bacterium. RNAcentral's name for it is "partial 16S ribosomal RNA". It matches the Rfam family "Bacterial small subunit ribosomal RNA", at positions 524 to 776 of the family's 1533-position model. The record is from RNAcentral.